AUGAACGCUGGCGGCGUGCUUAACCCAUGCCCGUCGAACGAUGAAGCCCAGCUUGCUGGGUGGAUUAGUGGCGAACGGGUGAGUAACACGUGAGUAACCUGCCCUUGACUCUGGGAUAAGCCUGGGAAACUGGGUCUAAUACUGGAUAUGACUUCUCAUCGCAUGGUGGGGGGUGGAAAGAUUUAUUGGUCUUGGAUGGACUCGCGGCCUAUCAGCUUGUUGGUGAGGUAAUGGCUCACCAAGGCGACGACGGGUAGCCGGCCUGAGAGGGUGACCGGCCACACUGGGACUGAGACACGGCCCAGACUCCUACGGGAGGCAGCAGUGGGGAAUAUUGCACAAUGGGCGCAAGCCUGAUGCAGCGACGCCGCGUGAGGGAUGACGGCCUUCGGGUUGUAAACCUCUUUCAGUAGGGAAGAAGCGAGAGUGACGGUACCUGCAGAAGAAGCGCCGGCUAACUACGUG
This 465-nucleotide ribosomal RNA is filed under the name uncultured bacterium. RNAcentral's name for it is "partial 16S ribosomal RNA". It matches the Rfam family "Bacterial small subunit ribosomal RNA", at positions 29 to 507 of the family's 1533-position model. The record is from RNAcentral.